Xiphophorus hellerii (green swordtail) is the source of this 591-nucleotide long non-coding RNA. RefSeq lists it as uncharacterized. NCBI's taxonomy places the organism in Eukaryota, Metazoa, Chordata, Actinopteri, Cyprinodontiformes, Poeciliidae. The record is from RefSeq and is a predicted model, not a curated record. The transcript is spliced from 2 exons.
UUGAAGCUAUACAACGUGUCCUAUUCGACGCCGUGCCUGGAGCAGAAGAAUCUAGAGUGUAGAUAACAUGUGUCUAGAUAGUGAAUGUCAUUAGCGCUGCAACUAUGUGAUGAAUUGUUUUCCCCCUCCCUUUGAGAAGUUGCAGCGCCCGGUGUAAGAGGGUUUCUAAAAGCAAUAAAAAGCGAGGAGGGGACAAAUGUGUUUCAGAGCGGUUGGAGAUUUGUAACUGUAAGCACGUCUCUGUCUGCUCUCCUCGCGAGAACAAAGAAUUUAACUCUCUCGUCUUUCCUGUGUUUGUUUAAAUUGUCUCUAAUAGGUAUUUAGACCUGACACUCCUCUACAACCGCUGAUCCUGAGCCUACCUGUCCGCCCUCCGACGUACUCCCUUUGCCUCCUGGAUCCCCGCUGUCAGACAAGACGACCACCUGGAACCUCUGAGAACUAAAACCCCGGACGCUGCAGUUACCCUCUCACUUCUCUAACCUGCCGAUCACAAUGAACUGUUUGUUCCCUGAACCAGCCUCUCUCCCUGGACCCGACCCGAGCCAACUAUUCCUGCCAGCAGUGUUUUCAAUAAAUUUAUCUUUAUUU